This 329-nucleotide ribosomal RNA is filed under the name uncultured cyanobacterium. RNAcentral describes it as "bacterial SSU rRNA". It matches the Rfam family "Bacterial small subunit ribosomal RNA", at positions 377 to 720 of the family's 1533-position model. Lineage: Bacteria; Bacillati; Cyanobacteriota. The record is from RNAcentral.
GCAAGCCUGACGGAGCAAGACCGCGUGAGGGAAGAAGGUCUGUGGAUUGUAAACCUCUUUUGAUAGGGAAGAAGACAGUGACGGUACCUAUCGAAUCAGCCUCGGCUAACUCCGUGCCAGCAGCCGCGGUAAUACGGAGGAGGCAAGCGUUAUCCGGAAUUAUUGGGCGUAAAGAGUCCGUAGGUGGGUAACCAAGUCAGCUGUUAAAUAGUGAAGCUUAACUUCAUAGAGGCGGCUGAAACUGGUUGUCUAGAGUGUGGUAGGGGUAGAGGGAAUUUCCAGUGUAGCGGUGAAAUGCGUAGAUAUUGGAAAGAACACCGGUGGCGAAA